Molecule: long non-coding RNA, 2307 nt
Filed under: Cucumis sativus (cucumber)
Lineage: Eukaryota; Viridiplantae; Streptophyta; Magnoliopsida; Cucurbitales; Cucurbitaceae
Description: long non-coding RNA (CSAT_LNC000945)
Source: RNAcentral
AAAAGCCAAGAUGACAAAGAAAGGAGCCGACCUUUUUUGUCGUGAACACAAUCACACGUCAACAGUAGGUGCAACAAUCAUCUUCAUCAUCAUCAUCCUGAUGAAGAAAAUGGCGGUUUCACUGCAUUCCACGAAGCUUCCUUUCUAUGUAAUAAGUGGGAUUAUGUCUUCUUCUUCUUUUCCCGUUUCAAAUAUGUUCUGAUUUUAGCAAAAUGUAAUCAAGAGAAGUUACCUCUCUUCUGCAUGUAGUUAUAAGAAAUCUGAACCAGACUGGAUCCCCUACACUAAGCUCCACAGAAGUCAUGGAAAGCAACCAAUGGGAACGUAGAAGUUUAGCUGAGAAAAGUUCCAAUGUUCACAAGAAUUCAAAACAUAAAUAAUCAUUUCCUGAGAGAGUUGAAGAGGCAAAGAUUUAAGUAUAUAUCUUCAAACAAUGCUCGUUUCUAACUCUCACUUGCUAAUACAUUCAAUAUAUAAGUAACAAAGACAACAAAUAGGAGUAAGCUCACAGUUUGGUCAGUAGAGUAUAAAAUCCAUGGUGUUGAUAAUUUGAUAUGAAGGCCUACCGUGAAAACUCGUUGCUGAGGGUUAGUUUCCAAUUGACCAAAAUAUCUCUACUCUACAUUCCUUCUGGCAACUCCACAACGGUAUAGGUUCAGUCUUUGCUUUCUGAAUCCAGAUAUCCUCAAAAACCGAGUAAAACCUCGAUAUCAUAGACUCAGCCUCGUGUGAAGCCAUAUGAUACACAGUAAAAAAUACAAAAACUCACAUAAGAGCUAAAUGAACCAAGCAAGUUCAGUGAAAUUUUGUGAGACAUCGUAUUUUUUCACUUCCGUAUCUCUAUUUCAACAUCCAAAUCGAAGUCCUCCUUGAGGAUAUCUUUCGGAGUCAUUCCAAAUCCAUCAGCAAUCUUUUCCAUUCUCUUCAGUCUCUUUACUUCUCGUUUUAUUUGGUCCACUCUGUUUGAUACGGCAUUUUGUCCCGUUGAUGGUGCUUGAUGUCUGAGUUCAGUUUGCUCCUUUUCAAGUUGCUGAAAGAGGUUAUGUAGAUAAUUUUUAUGUAAUAGAAGCUUUUCUUCUGCUAAAUUAUACUCGAACUCCUGUGAUCUUUUCAGUCCAUGCAAAACCUGAUCAAUUUCGUCUUCAAGUUUUAAGGACUCGAUCCAAUGAUCAAAAGGGGUGGACAUAGUCCAUUCUGAGCUUAUAAGGGAGUCUGAAGUUUCAUGAGAACUUUCUGUAGAAUCAGCAGUAUCAGGUGCAUCUGUGCAUAAAAUACAAAAUCAUUUCUUUCACAAAAUACAAAAUCAUCUCUUUUUCUUGUUUUGAGAGUAUACUUAUCAUUCUUUUAACGAGCAAGAGUAUGAAAAAUCGAUGGUCUAAAUGGCUGUUGAACAUACUAAAUAUUUGGCUGGUUAUACAACUAACCACUUAGAGACAUUGUUCCUAAGACAGAUUUGUUCGAGUAUGUAGAAUCAGACCCUAUAUUCAAAUGAUGAAAUCUUUCUCCAUAGUUAUCAAUGAUGGGACUUGACGAAAAAAUAAUUACCAGUGCAAUUAGCUGAGACCCUAAUGGAUGGUAUUACAAUUUCUCAUGCUUAUACGGUUGUGAGAACUUAUCCAUGCUAUUGGAUUUGAAGAAAAAUUACCAGUGCAAUUUGCUGAGCUAUCUUCCUCCAUCUUCCAAAUCUUUUCCAAGCAAGUCCCAGUUUUAAUCUGAAGCAAGCAUUCAAAGUCAAAUAGUAUGGAAAAGUCCCAGAGCAGCAUAGGAUAUUGCAAUAUUUAGUAUUUGUAGAAAAUACCAGUUUUACCUUCUCAAUGCUCAGUUCAAUGUGUCUUAACAACUCCUUUGCUCUCAUUUUGUGCGAACCACGCAAAAUACAUAAACCAAGGUUUAAGAUCUCCUCAACAUCAUCUUGGCAGUCAGCUGAUUGGCAUGACUGCAAAAAUCUUUCUACAUGUGAUACCAAAUCCGUUCUGGCAUCACAACGUCGACAAUAAUACUCAGCAUCCAGUCCAAUGCUUCCUCCAACUGUCCCAGCUGUAUACGAUUUAAGACCACAUUUUAUAUGAGAAAGAUGUCCACAAAUAUAUCCAUCACCCACCACUGCUUUACAUUUUAUGUAGCUAUAACUUUCCACGGUCGUGUCUAUAAUCUUGCAGCAAAGUAUACAGCAGCAAUCACGGCAAAAGCGAGAUUCACUGCAGCAAAUACCACAAGACAUGGAUUUGGAUGAAGAUGGAUUUUCAGAAACAGAUAAACUAUAACAGUUCUUAUUUCCAGCCUUGCAACCCACUUUAUCAUUCUGGG